This 69-nucleotide transfer RNA is filed under the name Oceanicaulis sp. RNAcentral describes it as "tRNA-Pro". It matches the Rfam family "tRNA", at positions 9 to 71 of the family's 71-position model. From Rfam's summary of the family: Transfer RNA (tRNA) molecules are approximately 80 nucleotides in length. Their secondary structure includes four short double-helical elements and three loops (D, anti-codon, and T loops). Further hydrogen bonds mediate the characteristic L-shaped molecular structure. tRNAs have two regions of fundamental functional importance: the anti-codon, which is responsible for specific mRNA codon recognition, and the 3' end, to which the tRNAs corresponding amino acid is attached (by aminoacyl-tRNA synthetases). tRNAs cope with the degeneracy of the genetic code in two manners: having more than one tRNA (with a specific anti-codon) for a particular amino acid; and 'wobble' base-pairing, i.e. permitting non-standard base-pairing at the 3rd anti-codon position. Lineage: Bacteria; Pseudomonadati; Pseudomonadota; Alphaproteobacteria; Maricaulales; Maricaulaceae. The record is from RNAcentral.
AGCGCAGCCUGGUAGCGCAUCUGCUUUGGGAGCAGAGGGUCGCAAGUUCGAAUCUUGCCGCCCCGACCA